UUUCCUUCUUCUUUUGAAAAUCACUGUGGCGUAACGACAACGAGUGGCGCAAAGCAAAUUCUUGUCCACUCCACCGUCAGCUCUUGUCAGAGAAGGUUCCCUAAUAUUUAAAGAAGACAGUUUUUGUCACUGCUGUUUUCUUUAGCCAACGUAACAGGUUUGGACUUGGCUUGGUGGCGUUUGCCCCUUACAGGAAAUAACCUGUUCAAUGGUUAGGUUUCGCCGACUUGGAAACCAACAUCAAGAGUUGUACAGGCCCGCACAACACUGAAAAUUCUUCAACCGAGAGGUGCAGUGAUGCUAGGUGGAUACCUGAGUGAUACAGGAAGAUGUUUAAAG
Molecule: long non-coding RNA, 339 nt
Organism: Asterias rubens (European starfish)
Lineage: Eukaryota; Metazoa; Echinodermata; Asteroidea; Forcipulatida; Asteriidae
Exons: 3
Source: RefSeq, a predicted model, not a curated record